Molecule: long non-coding RNA, 513 nt
Organism: Acinonyx jubatus (cheetah)
Lineage: Eukaryota; Metazoa; Chordata; Mammalia; Carnivora; Felidae
Exons: 3
Source: RefSeq, a predicted model, not a curated record
CCCCCUCACCGUACCUGCCCCCUUGUGGUCUAGCCUCCUUCCACGCUCCGCCCCCUGACGGGCUCUCCGAAGCCCGGCCCCCUCCCCAGCUUCGUCCCGCUCCUGCGGAGGCCUCACCUCCCUUCGGGUCCCGCCCCUCACCGGCUCUGUCCUGCCCCCAUCGCGAUACCUGCUGAGGCCUCACCACUUCACGCCCCGCCCCUGACGGCCACGCCCCCCUUAGGCCCCUCCUACACACGGCCCCCCUCGUCUUUUUAUUGCCCGCGCCCUCGGGUUCCUGUAGACCCGGAAGCGGAUAGCGCGGAGCAAAAGUUUCGCUGUUGAGUGUGGACUUCUAAGAAAGAACCACAUUGCCUGAGGAAGAGGCCCAGAAGAGGAGGAAGAAAAAUGAAAGAGGCCACAGGAAUGGCGUUUUCUCACGGAUGAUUGACCUUCAAGGAUGUGGCCAUAGAAUUCUCUCAGGAGGAAUGGGUGUGCCUGGACCCCGCUCAGAGGGCCUUGUACAGGGACCUG